GAAUAUUGGACAAUGGGCGAAAGCCUGAUCCAGCAAUGCCGCGUGAGUGAUGAAGGCCUUAGGGUUGUAAAGCUCUUUUACCCGAGAUGAUAAUGACAGUAUCGGGAGAAUAAGCUCCGGCUAACUCCGUGCCAGCAGCCGCGGUAAUACGGAGGGAGCUAGCGUUGUUCGGAAUUACUGGGCGUAAAGCGCGCGUAGGCGGACUAUUAAGUCAGGGGUGAAAUCCCGGGGCUCAACCCCGGAACUGCCUCUGAUACUGGUAGUCUUGAGUUCGAGAGAGGUGAGUGGAAUUCCGAGUGUAGAGGUGAAAUUCGUAGAUAUUCGGAGGAACACCAGUGGCGAAGGCGGCUCACUGGCUCGAUACUGACGCUGAGGUGCGAAAGCGUGGGGAGCAAACAGG
Molecule: ribosomal RNA, 400 nt
Filed under: uncultured bacterium
Lineage: Bacteria
Description: bacterial SSU rRNA
Rfam family: Bacterial small subunit ribosomal RNA
Source: RNAcentral